RNAcentral lists this ribosomal RNA (543 nucleotides) under uncultured Fomes. RNAcentral describes it as "eukaryotic LSU rRNA". It matches the Rfam family "Eukaryotic large subunit ribosomal RNA", at positions 83 to 607 of the family's 3401-position model. The record is from RNAcentral. Lineage: Eukaryota; Fungi; Basidiomycota; Agaricomycetes; Polyporales; Polyporaceae.
GUAACUGCGAGUGAAGCGGGAAAAGCUCAAAUUUAAAAUCUGGCGGUCUUUGGCCGUCCGAGUUGUAGUCUGGAGAAGUGCUUUCCGCGCUGGACCGUGUAUAAGUCUCUUGGAACAGAGCGUCAUAGAGGGUGAGAACCCCGUCUUUGACACGGACUACCAGUGCUUUGUGAUGCGCUCUCAAAGAGUCGAGUUGUUUGGGAAUGCAGCUCAAAAUGGGUGGUGAAUUCCAUCUAAAGCUAAAUAUUGGCGAGAGACCGAUAGCGAACAAGUACCGUGAGGGAAAGAUGAAAAGCACUUUGGAAAGAGAGUUAAACAGUACGUGAAAUUGCUGAAAGGGAAACGCUUGAAGUCAGUCGCGUUGUCCGGAACUCAGCCUUGCUUUUGCUUGGUGCACUUUCCGGAUGACGGGUCAGCAUCGAUUUUGACCGUCGGAAAAGGGCUGGAGUAAUGUGGCACCUCCGGGUGUGUUAUAGACUCCGGUCGCAUACGGCGGCUGGGAUCGAGGAACGCAGCGCGCCGCAAGGCAGGGGUUCGCCCACU